This 301-nucleotide ribosomal RNA is filed under the name uncultured bacterium. Its description in RNAcentral is "partial 16S ribosomal RNA". It matches the Rfam family "Bacterial small subunit ribosomal RNA", at positions 509 to 807 of the family's 1533-position model. The record is from RNAcentral.
CAGUAGCCGCGGUAAUACGUAGGGUGCAAGCGUUAAUCGGAAUUACUGGGCGUAAAGCGUGCGCAGGCGGUUUGUUAAGACAGAUGUGAAAUCCCCGGGCUUAACCUGGGAACUGCAUUUGUGACUGGCAAGCUAGAGUCUGGCAGAGGGGGGUGGAAUUCCGCGUGUAGCAGUGAAAUGCGUAGAUAUGCGGAGGAACACCGAUGGCGAAGGCAGCCCCCUGGGCCAACACUGACGCUCAUGCACGAAAGCGUGGGGAGCAAACAGGAUUAGAUACCCCAGUAGUCCCUGUCUCUUAUAC